Molecule: ribosomal RNA, 119 nt
Organism: Corchorus capsularis
Lineage: Eukaryota; Viridiplantae; Streptophyta; Magnoliopsida; Malvales; Malvaceae
Source: Rfam
GGGUGCGAUCAUACCAGCACUAAUGCACCGGAUCCCAUCAGAACUCCGCAGUUAAGCGUGUUUGGGCGAGAGUAGUACUAGGAUGGGUGACCUCCUUGGAAGUCUUCGUGUUGCACCCC